AGAGGGUUAGUUAAUUUAUUGUCUAGAAAUGACAUUUAAGUUGGUCCUUGAGAAAUGUUAGAAUUUUUAUAGCAGUGAUAAUGGAAAGGCAUUCUAAGUGGAUAAAAACUGUGGUUAGAAACAUAGACUGGAGAGCAGGGUAUCUGAAACAAUGCUGAGCCAUUGUUUGCUAAUAGUGGACUAUGUAAGCAAGGCAGUGGAAUAUAGGCUAGAAGGGUAUAUUGAAGCCAAAUUAAAGAAGGAUGUGAAGGUUAGGCUAAGAAGUGUGAUGAGCUUUAUUUAGGUAAUAGGCAAUGAGGAGAAAUUGAAACAUGAAGGAACAUAAUUUGAGGUGUGAUUAUUUGAGUUUUUAAAAUAUUAUCACUGUGCAUCAGAAUGGGUUAGGGAAGGCUUAAAUCCUGGAUGCUGGCUCAGCACCUAUUAGAGCAAUUAAAAUGAGAAAUGAUGCAGACUAAACUAGAAUUUCAGGUAAAAAUGGGAAAAAUAGGCGUUAAAAAAUGGUAUAAACGUUAAAAAACUACACUUGACUGAGUUAGAAUAUGGAGGAAAAGGAAGUAUGGAGAUCAAAAGAAAACAUCAGGAUUUGGGAGCUUGGACACAGGUUUUGCUUUUCCAUCUUUUAUGGAGUAUGAUUUACUUUCAAAUCGCCUCUGAAGAAACCUAUUAGUCAGUCAACUGCAGAAAAACUUCUCCAUAAUAUCUACCUGGAAUAUAUCUUGCUUCCAUUCACCUUCUUCCUUUGUCAAUGACUCUCAGGAGGAAUACAGUCUUUGUCAGUCAUAAAGGAAGGAAGAGUCAAUGACAUAGGAUCCCAAACACGGCUAAAAUGUCUCAUAUCUAAUGCUGUACUCCCCCUCUUAACCAAAAUUUGUGUCAGGAAAAGGCACAAAACUCCACCAAAGGAUUACGGUACCUUAAUCCAAGGAAGUUGUAUAGAGGCUAGUAUUUAAAAUUGUCAUUUUGAUAGGCCCCACUAGUGGAUUUUAUCCCCUGUUAGGUUGGACAAUCCUCAGUAUAUACACCUUACUACACAAAGAUUUUCAUCAUAAUUUAUUGACUUUCUGCUAUGAGAGAUGAGUGUGCUCGUGUGACACCCAAUUAAACACUUAAUCCAUUCAAUUACAUGAAGUACAAAU
RNAcentral lists this long non-coding RNA (1136 nucleotides) under Homo sapiens (human). RNAcentral describes it as "HSALNT0327787". The record is from RNAcentral. Lineage: Eukaryota; Metazoa; Chordata; Mammalia; Primates; Hominidae.